CACCAGCGCCACAAGUGGGGACCAGUAUUAUUGGGUCUAAAGCGUUCGUAGCCGGCCAUGUGAAUCUUUUGUGAAAUUGUUAGGCUUAACCUAACAGCGGGCAGAAGACACUGCAUGGCUUGAGAUCGGGAGGAGUAAGAGGUAUUCGAGGGGUAGCGGUAAAAUGCAAUAAUCCCUCGAGGACCACCAGUGGCGGAGGCGUCUUACCAGAACGAGUCUGACGGUUAGGAACGAAAGCCAGGGGA
RNAcentral lists this ribosomal RNA (245 nucleotides) under uncultured archaeon. RNAcentral describes it as "partial 16S ribosomal RNA". It matches the Rfam family "Archaeal small subunit ribosomal RNA", at positions 474 to 718 of the family's 1478-position model. The record is from RNAcentral.